GGGUGUGUAGUAUAGUUGGAAGAACAUCGGGCUUCUAACCCGAAGGUCGGGGGUUCAAGUCCCUCCAUGCCCU
RNAcentral lists this transfer RNA (73 nucleotides) under Methanobrevibacter millerae. Its description in RNAcentral is "tRNA_Arg_TCT". It matches the Rfam family "tRNA". From Rfam's summary of the family: Transfer RNA (tRNA) molecules are approximately 80 nucleotides in length. Lineage: Archaea; Methanobacteriati; Methanobacteriota; Methanobacteria; Methanobacteriales; Methanobacteriaceae. The record is from RNAcentral.